GCCCUCGUGGUUUAAUGGUCAGCACAUUGGGCGCGCAUUCAAGAGGUCCGAGGUUCGAGUCCCGGCGAGGGCA
This is a non-coding RNA of Stegodyphus mimosarum, 73 nucleotides long. NCBI's taxonomy places the organism in Eukaryota, Metazoa, Arthropoda, Arachnida, Araneae, Eresidae. The record is from Rfam.